This 396-nucleotide ribosomal RNA is filed under the name uncultured bacterium. RNAcentral's name for it is "bacterial SSU rRNA". It matches the Rfam family "Bacterial small subunit ribosomal RNA", at positions 123 to 499 of the family's 1533-position model. The record is from RNAcentral.
AACCUGCCUUUGAGAAGGGGAUAACUGUCCGAAAGGAUAGCUAAUACCCUAUAUUGCCUUUUGUCACUAAGGCAAAAGGUGAAAGCGAGGCUGUCAAAGGCUUCGGCUCAAAGAGGGGUUCGCGUCCUAUCAGGUAGUUGGUGGGGUAAUGGCCUACCAAGCCAAUGACGGGUAGCUGGUCUUAGAGGAUGAUCAGCCACAGUGGGACUGAGACACGGCCCGCACCCCUACGGGGGGCAGCAGUGGGGAAUCGUGGGCAAUGGACGAAAGUCUGACCCCGCAAUGCCGCGUGAGGGAAGAAGCCCUUCGGGGUGUAAACCUCUGUCAGAUGGGAAGAUGAGAUUAGGGGCUAAUACCUCCUGGUCUUGACGGUUCCAUCAGAGGAAGGGACGGCUA